AGUGAACGCUGGCGGUAGGCCUAACACAUGCAAGUCGAACGGCAGCACAGUAAGAGCUUGCUCUUACGGGUGGCGAGUGGCGGACGGGUGAGGAAUACAUCGGAAUCUACUUUUUCGUGGGGGAUAACGUAGGGAAACUUACGCUAAUACCGCAUACGACCUACGGGUGAAAGCAGGGGAUCUUCGGACCUUGCGCGAUUGAAUGAGCCGAUGUCGGAUUAGCUAGUUGGCGGGGUAAAGGCCCACCAAGGCGACGAUUCGUAGCUGGUCUGAGAGGAUGAUCAGCCACACUGGAACUGAGACACGGUCCAGACUCCUACGGGAGGCAGCAGUGGGGAAUAUUGGACAAUGGGCGCAAGCCUGAUCCAGCCAUACCGCGUGGGUGAAGAAGGCCUUCGGGUUGUAAAGCCCUUCUGUUGGGAAAGAAAAGCAGCAGGUUAAUACCCCGCUGUUCUGACGGUACCCAAAGAAUAAGCACCGGCUAACUUCGUG
RNAcentral lists this ribosomal RNA (492 nucleotides) under uncultured bacterium. Its description in RNAcentral is "partial 16S ribosomal RNA". It matches the Rfam family "Bacterial small subunit ribosomal RNA", at positions 29 to 507 of the family's 1533-position model. The record is from RNAcentral.